This 367-nucleotide long non-coding RNA is filed under the name Sinocyclocheilus anshuiensis. RNAcentral's name for it is "lncRNA (ENSSANG00000009988.1)". Lineage: Eukaryota; Metazoa; Chordata; Actinopteri; Cypriniformes; Cyprinidae. The record is from RNAcentral.
AAAAAAAUACUCAUACAUUUAGGAGAGAACCAGAAGUUUUUAAUUCUCUAUUAUGAUUUGCUGUGAACUUCCUAAUGUGUGUUUUUUCUUGUACUGUCCACUUUAUACCCUUCAAAACUAAUUGAUGUGUUUCCUGUUUCUGUAGGUUGUGUAUUAAACGAGGAUAAUUUCUCAAUGAAAUGCAGAAAGCACAAGAACAAGUCCAUUAAAGCAUCAUCAAAUCGUCAAAUCAGCAGGUGACAGGAGAAAGAGGACGCUAUGCGAGAGUGCGGCUGAUCUCUAACUCCAGUGUUUCUGUGCACGCCGACCACAGGACCUUCAGACAACACCCAAACACCUUAAUAAUUGUGCUGCUGCACUGCUCAUA